RNAcentral lists this ribosomal RNA (478 nucleotides) under uncultured bacterium. RNAcentral's name for it is "partial 16S ribosomal RNA". It matches the Rfam family "Bacterial small subunit ribosomal RNA", at positions 28 to 507 of the family's 1533-position model. The record is from RNAcentral.
GAUGAACGCUGGCGGCGUGCUUAAUACAUGCAAGUCGAGCGAACAGAUGAGGAGCUUGCUCCUCUGACGUUAGCGGCGGACGGGAGAGUAAAAUGAGGAUAACCUACCUAUAAGACUGGGAUAACUUCGUGAAACCGGUGCUAAUACCGUACAAUAUAUUGAACCGCAUGGUUCGAUAGUGAAAGAGGGUUUUGCUGGAGCUGAUAGAUGGAUUCGCGGCGUAUCGGCUUGUUGGUAAGGUAGCGGCUUACCAAGGCGACGAUGGGUAGCCGACCUGAGAGGGUGACCCGCCACAUUGGGACUGAGAGACGGCCCAGACGCCUACUGGAGGCAGAAGGGGGGAAUAUUGAAGAAUGGGCGCAAGCCUGAUGCAGCAACGCCGCGUGCGGGAUGACGGCCUUCGGGUUGUAAACCACUUUCAGCAGGGACGAAGCUUUUUGUGACGGUACCUGCAGAAGAAGCACCGGCUAACUACGUG